UACGUAGGUGGCGAGCGUUGUCCGGAUUUAUUGGGCGUAAAGCGCGCGCAGGUGGUCCGUUAAGUCCUGUGUGAAAUCUCCCGGCUCACCCGGGAGGGGGCGCGGGAUACUGGGGGACUGGAGGCAGGCAGAGGCCGGUGGAAUUCCCGGUGUAGUGGUGAAAUGCGUAGAUAUCAGGAGGAACACCGGUGGCGAAGGCGGCCCUCUGGACGGUGACUGACGCUGAGACGCGAAAGCGUGGGGAGCAAACAGG
RNAcentral lists this ribosomal RNA (253 nucleotides) under uncultured bacterium. RNAcentral describes it as "partial 16S ribosomal RNA". It matches the Rfam family "Bacterial small subunit ribosomal RNA", at positions 524 to 776 of the family's 1533-position model. The record is from RNAcentral.